This is a long non-coding RNA of Halichondria panicea, 3384 nucleotides long. RefSeq lists it as uncharacterized. The record is from RefSeq and is a predicted model, not a curated record. The transcript is spliced from 6 exons. NCBI's taxonomy places the organism in Eukaryota, Metazoa, Porifera, Demospongiae, Suberitida, Halichondriidae.
CACAAUUUAAUACAAGCGCUUGAUUAGACCAUUGAUUGCCAGAUACACUUGGUAGAGUCUAUCCUCAGACUCUGGCCAUCGAUCUCUUGUAUACUAUGCUCAGGGGUGUCCACAAGUGGCUGGGCCUGGGAUGUAUUGUCAAGCCUAUAGCCCAAUCCUUGGUAUCUGGAUCAAGAUAUGACAUUACGGCACUGGUACUGGUGUUGUGAUAGCCUCCUUCACCGGCCUUCAAGGAAGUGCGGCCUGGGAUCGUGGCUAGUUUGUGUGGACCAUCACUGAGCAAAAUGGAACCUUCCCCUCCAACCCCCGUCGUACUCCUCCUAGCUGAUGGGUGUGAACUAAUUGAAAGAGGAUGCCCCAGUGCCACUCGUGUCCUUCCCAAGGGUCCGAUCUUAUAGAACUACCUGCACUAAAACUACGGACGUGGAAUGGCUCUUUCAACACUUGUGGUUGCUAUCCUGACCAGUGACGUCAGGAUUCUACUGUCUCUUGAUGCACUGUGAACACACAAUCUUUGUUAUGCCACCUGAAGGCUUAGCAGGCAUAUCCAACGCAGUAUUUAUUAAGUCUUUCUGGAAGCUCUUGUUUGAGAUCUUCGCUUCUAAACAUCUGCAUUUUAUUAUGGACACAGUACUGCUGUGCACAGUAUUAAUUUCUAGUGUCAUUAUAUCAUUAUAUCGCUGUAUUUUUAGCCAACUGUGAUAAACUGAAGAUUUUACAGUCAUAGCUGAUACUUACCAGUUUCCAGUCACGCCCAGAUACAAUCAAUACCAGGCCGAGGAGGCGACCUAGCGUUCAAUUAGAGACGGAUCGGCCUGGGAUCGAGGCUAGCAGUGUGGCUACUUUACACACAUACCCCGCUGUCAAGUUGACAGGCUAAAACCAGCUAGUGUAACUGACACAUGAGUAACAGGUAAGGCUAUAUAAGGCUAUAUAAUCAUACACACACGCUUACGUAGCAUGGCUGCAAGCAAGGCUAUACACACACCUACACACACCCAUCUGGGAACAGAGAGCAACGGGUAGGGCUAUACACACACCUAAGUUGACAGCAAGCAAGGCUUUACACACACACCCCACUGCCUAAGUCGACUGGCCUAAGCCAGUGUAACUGACACAUGGGAACAGAGAGCAACAGGUAAGGCUAUACAAACACAUCUAAGUUGACAGGCUAAAGGCGGGAAACAGCAAGCAAGGCUUUACACACACACCCCACUGCUGAAGUCGACUGGCCUAAGCCAGUGUAACUGACACAUGGGAACAGAGAGCAACAGGUAAGGCUAAGUUGACAGGCUAAAGGCGGGAAACAGCAAGCAAGGCUUUACACACACACCCCACUGCCUAAGUCGACUGGCCUAAGCCAGUGUAACUGACACAUGGGAACAGAGAGCAAGGCUUUACACACACACCCCACUGCCUAAGUCGACUGGCCUAAGCCAGUGUAACUGACACAUGGGAACAGAGAGCAACGGGUAAGGCUAUACAAACACAUCUAAGUUGACAGGCUAAAGGCGAGAAACAGCAAGCAAGGCUUUACACACACACCCCACUGCCUAAGUCGACUGGCCUAAGCCAGUGUAACUGACACAUGGGAACAGAAAACAACAGAAAACAACGGGUAUAGCCAUACCCUAUACAGUUGAUUGGCUAAAGGCGGGACAGAAAACAGCUAGCUAUACACACCACACACCCCUAAGCCAGUGUAACUGACACAUAUGGGGAGAGAACAAUAUUAUCUGUAGAAGCCUGACCAUCCUCUCCCCAUGGAUAUCCACUCGACUCGUUCAACUCAGACGUCUAGUCUAUAGACUCGCAAGCCGCCACUGUUGCACGCGAACAGUACUGAGAAAAAUCUAUGCUCGAAUCAAGGCAGAUUUAGACUACAACGUCGAGGGCGGCACUUCCGAUAUCUACACAUGCGCAGUAUUAUUAGGAGCACAUGGUCAGCCAGCUGCACAGCACAGUACACAGUUCUCUAGCUCGAUUGAAAUCAAUGGCUCGCAACUUAAACCUAGAAGCUUUUGACUUAAGUGAUCAUGAAUUAAGUGAUAGCUGCAGCAAUGGAUCAUUGGAUAGGCGGCAGUACCCUGGUAGUCAAAAGAGACGGCGUCCGGCGUUCGCUUCCAGUUCUAGUGAAGACGAGGACAACGAUGGCCUAGAACAAUCGUCAACACCACCCAAAAGAACAAAGAAGAAAAAGAAGUCCCUCCAGGCUGCUAGUUCUACCAGCUCCAAUGUCAUGAUUUUAAAGGAACUACAGAAAACUAACUCAGCAAUUGAAAAGCUUGUGUCUACAGUAAAGACUACCCAGAGAAGAGUAAGAAAUGUUGAAGAGCAGAUUUCCAGCUCGUCUUGUAGCACUCCAAAGAGGAAAAAGAAAAAUGUCCCUGAUGAAGUUAGACGUGAAACAAGACGGAUCUACGGUGUGCUGUUAACAGAGGAUCAGAAAACUUCCUUGGGUGGAAAACCGAGCCUGGAUGACCAAAACCAAGUGACUUUGAAUCGCUUACUCAAGGAGGUUAAAGGCUUUAAACUCGGGAUUCCUCACUGAGCAUAUCAAAGACGCUGCUUAUCGAUUUUAUCGUUCACGUAACGAGGAGGAGCCAUCUCGUAGGCGAGGAAAACUAGGAGCCAAAAACAAAAGCAAAAGAAAACAUGAACGGCUUGCGAGGGUAUGUAUAAUUGUCCUGUGGGUGUUGUAUGAUGCAUCGGCUUGCGUGCUAUAGCUGGGUAUGUUAACUUCUAAGGGUGUACUGUUGUAUGGUGCAUUUCGAUGGCCUUGCUACAAUUGCUCUGUGAAAAUUUCCAAUUUGUGCAAAUGUUCCUAUUAGGCAAGGCAUGGUAAACAUGUGGCGUAGUCGCUAGAAGUAUUGGCCCUCAAAAAUUACCUGCUAUGCCUCUCUGCAAUAUCCGAUAUUUUGAAUAUGCACUCUUCUACAAUGCAUGGCAUUCCAAGUAAGCAAAACUAUAGGCAUAACUCGAGAACCAAUCAUUAUUUUGCAAAUCCACGAAUUACAUCAGAAGCCCAUAAAGAGAAGGACUACGGGGAUCACGUUUCGUAAGUAGUUAUGACCGCAUCCUGAGGACUUCUAAAUCACGUGGAAACUCCGUGACUAGAAGCCUGUAUAAUUAUAUAGAAACUCUUAUUUGCACUUUAUUGAUUCUUGAGCAGCUGUAGCAGUCUACACAGACAGACAGACACAAACACACUACCGUACGUAUACCUCGCUUGUGCAUGUGCAUGCGCACCGAGGCAUAACGGCUUCCUGUGCAGCUUGCUUUCCAUUGAGGUAUCAAUCAGCAAUUAGCACCCGUUGCACUUUGAGUCAAGUAGUACACUGUACACAGAGCUAGAACCCUUAGCAUGCACUGGCUACAAGCUAU